UGAGGAAUAUUGCGCAAUGGGGGCAACCCUGACGCAGCGACGCCGCGUGAGUGAGGAAGGCCUUCGGGUCGUAAAGCUCUGUCAAAGGGAAAGAAGUGCAUGGUGGCUAAUACCUGCCACGUUUGACGGUACCCUUAAAGGAAGCACCGGCUAACUCCGUGCCAGCAGCCGCGGUAAUACGGAGGGUGCAAGCGUUGUUCGGAAUCACUGGGCGUAAAGGGCGCGUAGGCGGUUGGAUGUGUCGGUUGUGAAAUCCCCGGGCUCAACUCGGGAAUUGCUUCCGAAACUAUCUGACUUGAGGCAUUUUUUGGGUGACUGGAACUCUUGGUGGAGCGGUGACAUGCGUAGAGAUCAAGAGGAACGCCGGUGGUGAAGACGGGUCACUGGAAAUGUCCUGACGCUGAGGCGCGAAAGCUAGGGGAGCGAACA
Molecule: ribosomal RNA, 429 nt
Filed under: uncultured prokaryote
Description: bacterial SSU rRNA
Rfam family: Bacterial small subunit ribosomal RNA
Source: RNAcentral